CGCCUUGCCAGCCCGCUCAGAAACUUAAAGGAAUUGACGGGGGCCCGCACAAGCGGUGGAGCAUGUGGUUUAAUUCGAUGAUACGCGAGGAACCUUACCUGGGCUCAAAUGUAUGUUGACGUAUUCUGAAAGGGAUACUUCUUCGGACAAUAUACAAGGUGCUGCAUGGUUGUCGUCAGCUCGUGCCGUGAGGUGUCGGGUUAAGUCCCAUAACGAGCGCAACCCCUACCUUUAGUUGCCAUCAGGUUAAGCUGGGGACUCUAAAGGAACUGCCUACGCAAGUAGUGAGGAAGGCGGGGAUGACGUCAAAUCAGCACGGCCCUUACGUCCAGGGCUACACACGUGCUACAAUGGCCGAUACAGAGGGCAGCUACCUGGUGACAGGAUGCAAAUCUCCAAAGUCGGUCUCAGUUCGGAUCGGAGUCUGCAACCCGACUCCGUGAAGUUGGAUUCGCUAGUAAUCGCGCAUCAGCCAUGGCGCGGUGAAUACGUUCCCGGGCCUU
This 503-nucleotide ribosomal RNA is filed under the name uncultured Sphingobacteriales bacterium. Its description in RNAcentral is "bacterial SSU rRNA". It matches the Rfam family "Bacterial small subunit ribosomal RNA", at positions 903 to 1382 of the family's 1533-position model. The record is from RNAcentral. Lineage: Bacteria; Pseudomonadati; Bacteroidota; Sphingobacteriia; Sphingobacteriales.